GCUCGGAUGGUGGAAUAGGUAGACACGUGGGACUUAAAAUCCCAUGGACAGCGAUGUUCGUACGGGUUCGAUUCCCGUUCCGAGUA
This 86-nucleotide transfer RNA is filed under the name Caudoviricetes sp. Its description in RNAcentral is "tRNA-Leu". It matches the Rfam family "tRNA". Rfam says of the family: Transfer RNA (tRNA) molecules are approximately 80 nucleotides in length. Their secondary structure includes four short double-helical elements and three loops (D, anti-codon, and T loops). The record is from RNAcentral. Lineage: Duplodnaviria; Heunggongvirae; Uroviricota; Caudoviricetes.